This is a long non-coding RNA of Oncorhynchus keta (chum salmon), 838 nucleotides long. RefSeq lists it as uncharacterized. The record is from RefSeq and is a predicted model, not a curated record. Lineage: Eukaryota; Metazoa; Chordata; Actinopteri; Salmoniformes; Salmonidae. The transcript is spliced from 3 exons.
AGAGUACUACACAGCUACUGUGGAGGUAAGAAAGAGUACUUCACAGCUACAGUGGAGGUAAGAGAGAGUACUACACAGCUACUGUGGAGGUAAGAGAGAGUACUACACAGCUACUGUGGAGGUAAGAGAGAGUACUACACAGCUACUGUGGAGGUAAGAGAGAGUACUACACAGCUACUGUGGAGGUAAGAGAGAGUACUACACAGCUACUGUGGAGGUAAGAGAGAGUACUACACAGCUACUGUGGAGGUAAGAGAGAGUACUACACAGCUACAGUGGAGGUAAGAGAGAGUACUACACAGCUACUGUGGAGGUAAGAGAGAGUACUACACAGCUACAGUGGAGGUAAGAGAGAGUACUACACAGCUACUGUGGAGGUAAGAGAGAGUACUACACAGCUACUGUGGAGGUAAGAGAGAGUACUACACAGCUACUGUGGAGGUAAGAGAGAGUACUACACAGCUACUGUGGAGGUAAGAGAGAGUACUACACAGCUACUGUGGAGGUAAGAGAGAGUACUACACAGCUACUGUGGAGGUAAGAGAGAGUACUACACAGCUACUGUGGAGGUAAGAGAGAGUACUACACAGCUACUGUGGAGGUAAGAGAGAGUACUACACAGCUACUGUGGAGGUAAGAGAGAGUACUACACAGCUACUGUGGAGGUAAGAGAGAGUACUACACAGCUACAGUGGAGGUAAGAGAGAGUACUACACAGCUACUGUGUGACUUGUUGGAUCAAAGUCAGUGUCUCUGUCACUAGAAGCCAUCACUACACCUCAGACUGAGACAAACGUUAUAUUUUCAUUUUCUAUUACAUUAUUUCUCCGUCUCACUG